UGCUGUGGAUCCUUCUGUUCUAUGACAGAUUUUGGUGAACCAGGUUCAGUGCAUCUUUAUCAACCUCUGGUGAUGCUUUUCUCCUUCAGCCUGCGAAGGCUUGAAGCAGCAGUGAACAUCCAUGGGCUGAAAACUACAACCUGGAGAUGGGCUACUGACUGGGAAGGGGCUGCUGUCCACUAUGGACAUCUCAUUGAAAACCCUCAUGGAGAUGGAGGGGGAGGUGGAAGUGGAGAUGGAGGGGGAGAUGGAGAUGGAGGUGGAGAUGGAGGGGGAGAUGGAGGGGGAGGUGGAGAUGGAGAUGGAGGUGGAGGUGGAGAUGGAGAUGGAGAUGGAGGGGGAGGUGGAGAUGGAGAUGGAGAUGGAGGGGGAGAUGGAGGGGGAGAUGGAGAUGGAGGGGAAGGUGGAGAUGGAGAUGGAGGGGGAGAUGGAGAUGGAGGGGGAGGUGGAGAUGGAGAUGGAGGGGGAGAUGGAGAAGGAGGGGGAGGUGGAGAUGGAAGUGAAGAUGGAGGUGGAGGUGGAGACUGAGUUUUUCUUCCACACUUAACUCACUGGUGAACUGGAUUGAACUGGAUCAAAAGAGAGGGAUGCCAUGGUUUUCUAGGAGGAGAUCUGCCUCACACCUCCAUGAUGUUACCUCCACUGGGUCAAGCAGCUCCCAGUAUGGACCUUUGUGAGCCCAGUUUGUGGUGCUGUCUCCACCCCUGGGGAGAAUGUUACCCCAGCCACGAGUGGUCCUAGCCUGGACAUGGUGGGAUGGGCUGGGUUAUCUCUCAGGGCCCUCACCCUGCUUUGAGCAAACCAGAAGACCUCAGGAAACGUGAAAACUUCCUCCGUCCUUCAUAUGUGCAUCUCUGCUGAGCAUUGUGCAGAACCCCUCAGCCCCCCCCCAGCCCUCCCUCGCAGGUGAGCUUUGGGCAUGCAGACCCCAUCCUGGACCCAGCGGUGCUCC
This 952-nucleotide long non-coding RNA is filed under the name Gallus gallus (chicken). RNAcentral describes it as "lncRNA (ENSGALG00010003781.1)". Lineage: Eukaryota; Metazoa; Chordata; Aves; Galliformes; Phasianidae. The record is from RNAcentral.